GUAUUGCAACGACUGGGGAGAGGGAUAGUUGCAAUGGACUACCGAAAGUACACACACACACACACACACACUACCCCUUUCACAACCUUUACAACAUUUUCUUCCUUUACUAAUUUAAGACACGUAAGAUAUCAACAUUAUAAUAUGUUACGUUAUUCAAUAAUGUUAUGAAAUAACAGCGGCAUUCUUUCUCACAACACCUUCCCGGUCCGCCCAAGGCUUUAAAUCCUUAUCGAUUUCCGGGAUAAUAUUCCCUUUAGCUCAGGGAGUAUUGAUCACAUACUUCAGAUACUUUACAUAAAGUAUAAUAAAAAUCCGGAUCCUGAGUCAACAGCAGCUCACGAGAACCCUACAAAGGUCUUGUUUACACUCGUUACACAUUGUGAAGGCAAAAAUAGUGCAGUACCUGUAUUAUUAUAAACUGGUCUAGAUCACAAAUUAUUUCUUUUGCAGUAAAUUAAUAGUUUGUAUCGUGAUUUAAAAGUCUGUGAUGAUUAAUUGGUUAUGAAAUAUUGAACGAUAAAUUUCCUGAUAAACACUCGACUCCCUUUGAAGCUUAAAAUUUUCUCUUUCCUGAGGCUUUUAAUAUUCAUUUGAUACUAACAUCCAUUUCUGUCGGAAUCACUCGUUUCUGAGUUAUGCUUAGAAUUGCAUAAGGUAAGUGGUAGGGCCAUUAAUAUUGUUGUGCGUGACUUGGGUGUUAAUACGGAAACGAUGGUUAUAGAACUUAAUUAAAAAAGCAGUGGAUAUUUUGCCGUGACUGGUAAGUAUCUAUUUAUGCUAUUUUACUGUGAGCUCUGAUUGGUUAAUUAACCAUUACCGACGAACAACGCGAGAAAUAUAUGUGACCAUGACCGACGGGUAUUUGGCACUUAUUUCUCCAUGAGUUGAUCGCUGUGUAGCUGUAAACGUACCUAACCAUAUUUUUUUGUGCAUAGAAACUUAUCAAUAUAAAAUAGGAAACAUUUACUAGAACCUAAUAGAACCUGACCUAAACAACCAAAGAAACCUACCUAACCCUACCUAACUUCCUAGCCAUCCCUGCCAUAUUAAACAAAAGUACAUAUGUUGAUAUCUGGUACCAAUGAAAGCAAUUUUGCUGAAGCAUCAUAGUAUAAUUUUACAUUUUUUGUGGGAGUGAAAGUAUGACUCAGACCGAGCGGGUUGUGAAUAAACAGAUGACACGCAAUGUUUGCGAUUCACGUUAAUUUCUUACUUCAAAUUACUUUUCGGUUAAUAUCCAUUUGCAACGGAAGUGGUAGUAGAAAAAGCUGUUCCUAUUGACAAGAUAUAACUAAUGGUAAACACAAAAUUGCACUUGCCAAGUUGGGGCUGAAACUGUAAUAAUACCUGGAAAAUACAUGAUUUAAGGGUAAAUUUUUACAAGUUGCCCAUAAUGGUUUUGGACAUGAAACUUACGUUUUUCCAGUGGCUUUUUGUGUGUUUUGAACGAUUCUGACCUUCAUUUAUAUUGCAAAUGACUCGUUUUUGAGUUUGACAUCUUGGGGGACCCAUAAGAAAUCUGGGUUUUGGGCUGGGCAUAGAGCAAAAAAGAGUGAUAUGCUAUAUAAAUGACCAAAGUUGGCACGGAUUUUUCGUUUUUAACAAGUAAGGAAAAGCCAAAAUUUUAGAAUCCGAGCCAAGUUUUGGAGAAAAAUUAUUAUCAAAUUCGAAUGCAUCACACCAAAACCCAUCGGAAACACUUCGGUUUCAUCUCAAAAUCAGUUUCUCUGCUAACCUAACCUGACCUAACCGCCAUUGAUGGGGGGUUGGCUCCGACUGCAGGCCCACCCCCCAGCAGAGGUCAUAUCGAAACAACCAAACUCACUUAACCAAACAUCAAUACUGGACUUAGAAAAUAUUCGAUGACACCCUAAUGUGAUUUUGACAAUACUUGACGAGAGUGGGCUGGCCUUAGCCUCAACUUGACAAAAUUUGGUCAAGAUUCAUUUGACACCAUAAUGAAAAUUUGAUAACUAAAAUAGGGUUUUCGGUAAUUAUUGACGACUGACCUACUGUACAGCCAAAUUUUCAAAGAAAACGAUUAUAAAAACGCCGCAAUUGCACUGUGUUUUAUAGUGGACGCUGAUGUAGUUUGUGCAAAUGUGGUAAAAGUGGUUAUUUCUAAAUUUAACCUAACUUAACCUUAUUUGAUAUGAAAAGCAGUUAGAAGACCUCACCUUCCUAACCAAACAAACCCCCGGUAUAUUAAACAGAAAGAACUUACUAUGAUAUGGUGCAAUUUUACGUUUUUUUGUGGACACUGAACAUCGGCAUUGAUCUGGUCCCCGGCAGCGGAUUGUUUUGAAAUAUGUCAUUAUGAUUGGCUGUUUACAUCCUGGGAUGAAACAUCACCACCUCGUUACCGGUACCCUCAAGAAUACAUAGUUGUGUGCGCCUAGGCGCCUAAUUAUCUACCAAACGAAGCAUUUUCUCAAGUAAUGAUUAUCGUAGCAGAACUCGCUGAUGAAAAUAUACUGUAGUAACAAAAUAAACAUAAAAUCAAAUAAUAAUGUGUUUGUGGGUCAGUUAUCAAUAUUAACAGGAUUUUCUUAUGUUUUUCAAUGUGAUUUAAACACUAUGGGUAAAAUUUUAGUUUUGGUCAUCCUUGUAUUUAGAUAUGCAAACUAUGUUUUUCCGACGGUUUUUUAUGUGUUUUGAAUGAUUUUGAUCUAAUCUCAGUAACCUAACCUAGCCACAGAACCCAGGAACUAUAUCUAGCCUAACCUAAAUUCCUAAGAUUCCCUGGAUGACCGAAACUAAAAUUAUACCCAAAUACUAUAUGACCCUUAUUUGUGGGAUGGGGUGAAUGGGUACCUUGUGAAACACCAAUACCACUGAUGGCCCGCUCACUUUGACACCUCUGUGUUUAGAGCAGGCAGUUGUGCGCCCCACCCAGAAUACAUCAUCGAGCCAGGGUACACACACACACACAUGUUGAUCUUUAGCUAUAAGAACAGGGUAAAGGAUUUCAGUACUGUACAUUAUAUGGCUAAGAAGAAUUUAUCCUGGGAAUGAGACAGAUGUCAGGACCAUGGCUAUUUAGGGGAGAUUAUGUAUAUUUAGGGGCAGGGCUGGCCUUAGGAGGUGUGGAGCCCAAUUGGGAACAAUUUUGGUAGGCCCCAGGUUCCCAGCCAAGUUCUGUAGAAUCAUAGAAAUAUAAAUAAAGUCUAUUACGUAUAGACUUUAUAUCUCUAUGGUAGAAUGGAAAGUAAUCAAAAUGUGCGCUUAAAAAGUGCAUGCGAGUUAAUGGACCAAACAGAUCUAUGCUACAUUUUAAUACGUAAUAUAAAAUUGCAGACAUGUAAACCUACAAGUAACAAACAAAAUGUGUAAAUCACCUCUGAAAAGUACAUAGUUACAAUACCACUUGCUUUAGUGACUGUGAAAUGAUAUGGUGUUACAUAUAUAUUGCAAUGUGUUGUUGUGUGUACUUGACGAGCUGAGAGUAGAUUACUCUAGCGCGGGGCCCCCUUAGGCGUGGGGUCCAAUUGGCUUAAGGCCGGCCCUGUUUAGGGGUCAUAGCAUGGUUGUUUCAAUCUGAAAUGUCUUUAUUAUUUAUUCUACUGUAUAUAGAUACAGUAGAAUUUAUAUAUGCAUUGUGGCAUUUGUCUUUUUUAAUACACAUCAUGUUUUUUUGGCAGAAGUGAAGAAUGGCAGAGGGAGAUAACGGCACAGUGUUGCCCCGCGACUGGGUGCUAAAGAGCUCACGGCGGUGUCCUGUUGCUAAGUACUAUUUCAAUACUAAGACUGGUCAAGCAACAUGGAUACAUCCACUUCUUCUGAAGGAAAGCAAAGAAGAUUGCUCCAAAGAACCAAAAGAACUUAAGAAAUCACCAAAGAAACGAAAGAAAGUUAAAAUUAAUUUAUCUGAAUCACAAGGAAGUAUAGUUAAUGAACUGAUAGUAAAAAGUGACGAAGCAGAGGUUACAUCCACAAACUCUGUAGCAGUAAGUUCUCACAGUCCUCACAGAAACAAUCCAGUGCAAGGAAGCCCAACUGUUACCGAGUCAGAUGACGGCAAGGCAAUAGACGAGGAGAAAUGGAACUCUAGAAAACCUGUGAAAUUUGCAUUUAAAGCAAAGACUGAACCAAAGAAAGACUCUUUGAGCGGCCAAAAAAAAAUUGUGUCAAUCCAUCCGAGCUUACUGAGAGCAAGAAAAGUUGCAGAAAAGUUACAGUGGUCGAAAAAAGUGAAAGAUAAGAAAGUUAAACCGCAGAGUGAAAGGACAGUUCCAUCGAUAAAAUUAGAAGAGAAAGUAGAUGUUCCAGAUAAUAAAUUAAAAGAAUCAGUGGAGAAGACUAGAAAAGGUAAAAUAACUGCAGUAAGCACAAGAAGAAUUGUGAAGGCAAAGAGAAGGAUAGAAUAUGACAAAAAAGUGAAGGAAGAUGAAGCUUCUAUACAGGAGAUUAUUGAAGAAAUAAGUGGCAGUCCCUGUAAAAAGAAUGAAGAGUGCAAGGUAAAAAGUAAAGAGGAAAAGGUCCACUACAAACAUAAUAAGAAUAAUGAAUAUGAUGUGUAUAAGCACUUUGUAAAAUCUAAACAAGUUUCUCAUCAAACUUUAAAAUCUUCACAUAAAGAUAAUUAUCCUCCUGAGGAAAGUGAACUUCCUCCGCUUGAUAAAGUGGUACAUAAACAAGAACCUCAUUAUGAAGUUGAUACUGAAAAUGACUCUGAUGAAGUUACAGAAAUGGAAGUAGAGGAACAAGAGAUCAUUACUGAGAUUGCAAACUUCCGUGGAUCUGUCAGUCAUUCUCACAAAACAGACAGUAACCAACUGUUAACAACAAAUAUUAACAGCAACUCAGAGUCUGUCUGUAUUGUAGUUGACACAAAUAUACUUAUUCAAGAUAUUGGGUUCCUUGAAAGUCUCAAAUCAAAGGAAAUUGCAAAAAAGGAGGUUGUUAUUGUGAUCCCCUACACAGCAUUAAAAGAAAUGGAUGGACUAAAGAAAAAUGCAUCUAUUGGGAAGGCAUCUCAGGCUGCUAUAUGCUGGUGCAACAGUCACUUUGAAAAUAAUGACCCAAGAGUACAGGGACAAAGUUAUGACAACUACCUCAAGACAUUAGCCCACAGUCAACACCCUAGUGGUGAUGAUCUCAUCCGUGACUGCUGCCUGCUAUUAAAGAAAGAAAGUCUCGAUGUUUGCCUCCUCACAAAUGAUGUUAAUCUCCGCAAUAAGGCUUUGAUGUCAGCUAUUACUGCAAGCCUUGGUGUUAGAAGCCUAUGGAGUUGAACACAGUUUACCCACCCUCAACACAUCCGGUAAAAUGACUAGAGAAGGUGCACGAAGCAGUGGCAUAAACUUACACAAAGUCACCAUGAAAUUGGGAACUACAAUCUUCAGAUGUUUAUCUGAAGGAACAUCAGAAUCACUUCAAGAAUUUGGUCAUCUACUUAUAAAUUUCUGGGCAGAUGCCAAGCAACAAUGCCCAAACUUGCCUUUUACUGAAGAGGAUUUAACACAGGUUGUUACAG
Molecule: unclassified non-coding RNA, 5479 nt
Filed under: Homarus americanus (American lobster)
Lineage: Eukaryota; Metazoa; Arthropoda; Malacostraca; Decapoda; Nephropidae
Description: transcriptional protein SWT1-like, transcript variant X1
Source: RNAcentral